RNAcentral lists this ribosomal RNA (541 nucleotides) under uncultured bacterium. RNAcentral describes it as "bacterial SSU rRNA". It matches the Rfam family "Bacterial small subunit ribosomal RNA", at positions 773 to 1327 of the family's 1533-position model. The record is from RNAcentral.
CAAAUAGACUACCCGAGGUAGUCCACGCCGUAAACGAUGAGUACUAGGUGUAGGGGUAUCGACCCCGUCUGUGCCGAAGCUAACGCGAUAAGUACUCCGCCUGGGGACUACGGCCGCAAGGCUAAAACUCAAAGGAAUUGACGGGGGCCCGCACAAGCAGCGGAGCGUGUGGUUUAAUUCGAUGAUACGCGAAGAACCUCACCCAGGUUUGACAUGCAUGUGGUACUGAGGUGAAAGCCGAGGGACCCUUCGGGGAGCAUGCACAGGUGUUGCACGGCCGUCGUCAGCUCGUGCCGUGAGGUGUUGGGUUAAGUCCCGCAACGAGCGCAACCCUAUCGCCAGUUGUAUUUUUCUGGCGAGACUGCCGAGAAAACCUCGGAGGAAGGAGGGGACGAUGUCAGGUCAGCGUGGCCCUUACGCCUGGGGCUACACACACGCUACAAUGGGUCGUACAACGGGCUGCGAAGCCGCGAGGCGGAGCCAAUCCCAUCAAAGCGAUCCUCAGUUCGGAUUGCAGGCUGAAACCCGCCUGCAUGAAGCC